UCUAACAUGUACGCGAGUCAUUGGGACUUGUAAAGCCUAAAGGCGUAAUGAAAGUGAAGAUCGACUUUACGUCGAUCGAGGGAGGAUGGCUCGCGUCUCGAUGCGAGCCCGCACUCCCGGGGCGUCUCGUGCUCAUUGCGAGCUGAGGCGCACCCAGAGCGUACACGUUGGGACCCGAAAGAUGGUGAACUAUGCCUGGUCAGGACGAAGUCAGGGGAAACCCUGAUGGAGGUCCGUAGCGAUUCUGACGUGCAAAUCGAUCGUCGGAACUGGGUAUAGGGGCGAAAGACUAAUCGAACCAUCUAGUAGCUGGUUCCCUCCGAAGUUUCCCUCAGGAUAGCUGGCACUCGCUAGAGCGAGUCUCAUCUGGUAAAGCGAAUGAUUAGAGGCCUUGGGGCCGAAACGACCUCAACCUAUUCUCAAACUUUAAAUGGGUGAGAUCUCUGGCUUGCUUGAACGUUGAAGCCACGAGAUUUUUUGCAAUGGAUCAGAGUGCCAAGUGGGCCAAUUU
This 511-nucleotide ribosomal RNA is filed under the name Cales noyesi. Its description in RNAcentral is "eukaryotic LSU rRNA". It matches the Rfam family "Eukaryotic large subunit ribosomal RNA", at positions 674 to 1137 of the family's 3401-position model. Lineage: Eukaryota; Metazoa; Arthropoda; Insecta; Hymenoptera; Calesidae. The record is from RNAcentral.